ACACGUGGGAAUCUUCCUAUCGGUACGGAAUAGCUCAGGGAAACUUGAGGUAAUACCGCAUACGCCCUUCGGGGGAAAGAUUUAUCGCCGAUAGAUGAGCCCGCGUCUGAUUAGCUAGUUGGUGGGGUAAUGGCCUACCAAGGCGACGAUCAGUAGCUGGUCUGAGAGGAUGACCAGCCACACUGGGACUGAGACACAGCCCAGACUCCUACGGGAGGCAGCAGUGGGGAAUAUUGGACAAUGGGCGCAAGCCUGAUCCAGCCAUGCCGCGUGAGUGACGAAGGUCUUCGGAUUGUAAAGCUCUUUUGCCAGGGACGAUAAUGACGGUACCUGGAGAAUAAGCCCCGGCUAACUUCGUGCCAGCAGCCGCGGUAAUACGAAGGGGGCUAGCGUUGUUCGGAAUUACUGGGCGUAAAGCGCACGUAGGCGGAUUUGUCAGUCAGGGGUGAAAUCCCGGGGCUCAACCUCGGAACUGCCUUUGAUACUGCAAGUCUAGAGUCCGGAAGAGGUGAGUGGAAUUCCUAGUGUAGAGGUGAAAUUCGUAGAUAUUAGGAAGAACACCAGUGGCGAAGGCGGCUCACUGGUCCGGUACUGACGCUGAGGUGCGAAAGCGUGGGGAGNCAACAGGAUUAGAUACCCUGGUAGUCCAC
RNAcentral lists this ribosomal RNA (650 nucleotides) under uncultured bacterium. Its description in RNAcentral is "bacterial SSU rRNA". It matches the Rfam family "Bacterial small subunit ribosomal RNA", at positions 113 to 798 of the family's 1533-position model. The record is from RNAcentral.